RNAcentral lists this ribosomal RNA (406 nucleotides) under uncultured bacterium. RNAcentral's name for it is "partial 16S ribosomal RNA". It matches the Rfam family "Bacterial small subunit ribosomal RNA", at positions 28 to 526 of the family's 1533-position model. The record is from RNAcentral.
GACGAACGCUGGCGGCAGGCCUAACACAUGCAAGUCGAGCGCGCGGCGGACGGGUGAGUAAUGUCUGGGAAAAUGCCUGAUGGAGGGGGAUAACUACUGGAAACGGUAGCUAAUACCGCAUACCAUCAGAUGUGCCCAGAGGGGAUUAUCUAGUAGGUGGGGUAAUGGCUCACCUAGGCGACGAUCCCUAGCUGGUCUGAGAGGAUGACCAGCCACACUGGAACUUAGACACGGUCCAGACUCCUACGUGAGGCAGCAGUGGGGAAUAUUGAAAAAUGGGCGCAAGCCUAAUGCAGCCAUGCCGCGUGUAUGAAGAAGGCCUUCGGGUUGUAAAGUACUUUCAGCGGGGAGGCUUUACCCGCAGAAGAAGCACCGGCUAACUCCGUGCCAGCAGCCGCGGUAAUAC